UGAAAAGAAGAAAGAGGACUGC
RNAcentral lists this non-coding RNA (22 nucleotides) under Rattus norvegicus (Norway rat). The record is from RNAcentral. Lineage: Eukaryota; Metazoa; Chordata; Mammalia; Rodentia; Muridae.